AAAAACCAUAAAAACGACUACAAACAAUAAAAUAUGCGAAAAAGCAUAAAAACGACUACAAACACUAAAAUAUGCCAAAAACCAUAUAAACGACUACAAACAAUAAAAUAGGACAAAAAGUAUAAAAACGACUACAAACACUAUAUAAAUGACCCUAAAAUAGGCCAAAAACCAUAAAAACGACUACAAUCACUAAAAUUGGCCAAAAACUUAUUAAACGACCC
This 224-nucleotide long non-coding RNA is filed under the name Trifolium pratense (red clover). RNAcentral describes it as "long non-coding RNA (TPRA_LNC008717)". Lineage: Eukaryota; Viridiplantae; Streptophyta; Magnoliopsida; Fabales; Fabaceae. The record is from RNAcentral.